GCCGGGGUGGCGAAACGGCAGACGCGCCAGCCUUAGGAGCUGGUGGCCGCAAGGUCGUGCGGGUUCGAGUCCCGCCCCCGGCACCA
Molecule: transfer RNA, 86 nt
Filed under: soil metagenome
Also listed under: 1 other name
Rfam family: tRNA
About the family: Transfer RNA (tRNA) molecules are approximately 80 nucleotides in length. Their secondary structure includes four short double-helical elements and three loops (D, anti-codon, and T loops).
Source: RNAcentral